CUGAAAAAGUUUGGUGACGCACUGACUCCCCUCCUCUAUAUUGUAUUUGUAUAAGGUCUAAUUUGUGUAGUAAACACUUGGUUCUGUUGAUCGUGCUAGUGACCAAGUGCUCCUGAUUCCACAGCGAUAGCUAUGAUGGUGCCAUCAAAGGAACCGCAUGAUCUGCUGUGUGUUCCUCUGCUGCGCUGUUCAGUGUAUCUGUGACCCAGUCCUUCCAUGUGAGAAUCGGCACCUUCCUCUUACCAGAUAAACUGUGGCUAUUUCCAAUUACUCAGUUAGUUGAACAUAAUUCCUCAGUACAUUUUCAGUUAUGUUUAAUUGUAUGUGACUGAAAACGAUGUUCGUUUUUUUAGGUCUAAUGCUUCUGUAGAUUUUUAAGAAGUGUUUCAUUAAUUCUUUCAAAAAACUUCUAUAGUAACAAAUUAGGAUAUAUUGAAACAUCCUAUUGUAAUUGUGGAUUUUUAUAUCAACUUGGUGUUUUUUUCAGGUUAAUCAUUAAACAUUUUCACUCAGUAUUACCAUGUAUAUUUUUCUUUAGGCAGAUUUUAUUUUUCCAUAGUAUAAUUUUUGUCAAAAUGGAUUUCUCAUUUAUUCCUAAUUAAAAUUUUCAAUCUUUUUUUGUUAGUGCCUUCUUGCCAAAAACU
Molecule: long non-coding RNA, 644 nt
Filed under: Bos taurus (domestic cattle)
Lineage: Eukaryota; Metazoa; Chordata; Mammalia; Artiodactyla; Bovidae
Description: long non-coding RNA NONBTAT022920
Source: RNAcentral